This 460-nucleotide ribosomal RNA is filed under the name uncultured bacterium. RNAcentral describes it as "partial 16S ribosomal RNA". It matches the Rfam family "Bacterial small subunit ribosomal RNA", at positions 338 to 795 of the family's 1533-position model. The record is from RNAcentral.
CCUACGGGAGGCAGCAGUGAGGAAUAUUGGUCAAUGGACGAGAGUCUGAACCAGCCAAGUAGCGUGAAGGAUGACUGCCCUAUGGGUUGUAAACUUCUUUUAUAUGGGAAUAAAACGUUCCACGUGUGGGAUUUUGUAUGUACCAUAUGAAUAAGGAUCGGGUAACUCCGUGCCAGCAGCCGCGGUAAUACGGAGGAUCCGAGCGUUAUCCGGAUUUAUUGGGUUUAAAGGGAGCGUAGGUGGAUUGUUAAGUCAGUUGUGAAAGUUUGCGGCUCAACCGUAAAAUUGCAGUUGAAACUGGCAGUCUUGAGUACAGUAGAGGUGGGCGGAAUUCGUGGUGUAGCGGUGAAAUGCUUAGAUAUCACGAAGAACUCCGAUUGCGAAGGCAGUUCACUGGACUGCAACUGACACUGAGGCUCGAAAGUGUGGGUAUCAAACAGGAUUAGAUACCCCGGUAGUC